UAGGGAAUCUUCGGCAAUGGGGGCAACCCUGACCGAGCAACGCCGCGUGAGUGAAGAGGGUUUUCGGAUCGUAAAGCUCUGUUGUAAGAGAAGAACGUGUGUGAGAGUGGAAAGUUCACACAGUGACGGUAACUUACCAGAAAGGGACGGCUAACUACGUGCCAG
RNAcentral lists this ribosomal RNA (165 nucleotides) under uncultured bacterium. RNAcentral describes it as "partial 16S rRNA". It matches the Rfam family "Bacterial small subunit ribosomal RNA", at positions 355 to 511 of the family's 1533-position model. The record is from RNAcentral.